This 301-nucleotide ribosomal RNA is filed under the name uncultured bacterium. RNAcentral describes it as "partial 16S ribosomal RNA". It matches the Rfam family "Bacterial small subunit ribosomal RNA", at positions 509 to 809 of the family's 1533-position model. The record is from RNAcentral.
CAGCCGCCGCGGUAACACGAAGGGGGCUAGCGUUGUUCGGACUUACCGGGCGUAAAGGGCGCGUAGGCGGACUGAUAAGUCAGGGGUGAAAUCCCAAGGCUCAACCUUGGAACUGCCUUUGAUACUGUUUGUCUUGAGUUCGAGAGAGGUAAGUGGAACUGCGAGUGUAGAGGUGAAAUUCGUAGAUAUUCGCAAGAACACCAGUGGCGAAGGCGGCUUACUGGCUCGAAACUGACGCUGAGGCGCGAAAGCGUGGGGAGCAAACAGGAUUAGAGACCCGCGUAGUCCCUGUCUCUUAUAA